UUAUUAAAGAACGUUCGCGUUAAAUAUGAAAGGUGAAAAAUUAUAUCAAACUUUGCAAACAUAUAUACGGAGAGAAUCUUCAAAGAAAGUUAUAAAUUUAAAUAUGCAAGGACACAAAAAAAGAUCAUCUUAAUCAUAUGAUAAAGUAAUGAUAAGAAUAAUGUAUUCAACCAAAAAAAUUGGUCUGGAAUGAUGACUUUUGGUUGG
This is a non-coding RNA of Caenorhabditis elegans, 207 nucleotides long. The record is from Ensembl. NCBI's taxonomy places the organism in Eukaryota, Metazoa, Nematoda, Chromadorea, Rhabditida, Rhabditidae.